Molecule: non-coding RNA, 1695 nt
Organism: Physcomitrium patens
Lineage: Eukaryota; Viridiplantae; Streptophyta; Bryopsida; Funariales; Funariaceae
Source: RefSeq, a predicted model, not a curated record
GGAUUGUUAUUUGUAUUCAAGUCGAAAAGUGGCAAAAGAGAGUUUUGUCGAGGUGAGAUGGACAGCAUCAGUGCCGUUUUUGGUGAGAGGUCGAGGCGAGGUGUGAGGGAUGCGGGCGAAGCAGGGAGGAGGAGGAGGAAUCCUUAACCCUACUUUGCAAUUAAGCUGUAACUCACAGUGGGCCGUGCCGAAGAAGCAAGUCAUCAUCGACACAGAUUCUUACACUGUAUUUGUGCAGGGACCGAACCAUCAACGCGAAGAAAGUAGCACAACAACAUUCUCCGGGGAGGCGAUUCUCGAGUCAAAGGAACAUGCCUACUGAUUUUGCUGUGGCAUGGAGCUCAAUUGUUGAUAAUUAUUUGAAGAUCUACAUAUCAGUGAAGCAGAUAGAGGCCAUGAUCAUGCUUACUAUUGCAACAAAACAUGCUGAAAUCCAGCAAGAGUUCCACAGCAAGGGUUUCAUUGACAUGAUCCAGAGCACGAGCAUUUGCAACAGGUCAGGGUAAAGCACUGACACUAUCAGACGGUGGUCGAGAGUUCAGGUAAAUCGGACUUUUAUUCUACCUGUAUCUCUAUGAAGAAUCAGGAAAUCCAGAUUCUAUUGCAUGCAUUCAAUGUCAAACUAUGCUUAUUGCGAUUGAAAUUAAUCUGCAGAGUGUAACAAUCACAUGUUCAAACCACACUUCCCUGAGUCUGGCAGUAUUCUGUUUUUAAUGGAAAAGCGACCCACACAAUUGAUACCUAACGUAUUCUUGUAAAGGAUAUAUUCCGAUUUUGUUGUUUCAACUUAGGCUUCAGUCUGAUUCGAGGCACAUCGCUCCUGUGAGCUCUAGUAUUUGGUUGGAUUUGACAUCUAUUCAAUUCCAUGGCCGACAACCAAACCGGUGGCAGGUGGCAUGACCCCAAGAGAUUGGUGCAGAGGACAGCAAUCAACUGUCAACAGGGGACAGUUCUUAUGGAUGGUACACUCUUGGUGAUUGAGCAUGAGUUGGUGACUUCCCCUGUAUUAUUUGAUUCCUCUGUAUUAUAAUAUAUUUUGUAAGAAAUCUAAUUUUGAGUUUUCAUUUUUUUGGAACUUAUCAAUCAUCACUCUUUUGUGAACCCAGGAAUACAAUUAUAUUCUGGAUGUUUGCUGUGUGCUCAGCUGUGCCAAAUAGAUAUCAGAUAUAAUUCCAUUUUUAAUCCUUCUUUUUCCUCAUCCUUUUUACAAAAUUCAGUGUGAAAUUAGCUUAUGUUCAUAGAUCAAGAGAAAUGCAAUCAUGGAGAAGAGAUAGAAAGAUCUCGGACACAAUUGUUUCUUUGUAGAAAAGAGUUGUGGAGGCUUUGUUGCUAUGAGAGUAUCUAAAAGUGAGCUACACCAUGCAGGGACACCAAAAUCCAAGCCUAAGGCCUUGCAGGAAAUCACUUGACAGGUCUCAUUUUGUAAGCAAUGCUGCUUUCACUGUAGUUGGAAUUAUGGCUCGUCAAAGGGUUAUCCACUCCACCUGGUACUCUACUACAUUCUCAUAUUCCACAUUAAUACUUCAUUCCCACACAAGAGCAGUUUACAUUUGCUUUCUGCUCUCCACAUGACUAGUACAUGCAUGUGAAAAAGUUUGUUGUGCAGUACCAAGCCCUACCAAGUGUACCCAAGUUUUCUGUGAUAAAUCCAAAAUGUAGAUGGCCUUGAUGCAACCAUUGUAGGGAAAUUCUAAA